GAUGAACGCUGGCGGUAUGCUUAACACAUGCAAGUCGAACGGACUCUUCGGAGUUAGUGGCGGACGGGUGAGUAACGCGUGAGAAUCUGGCUUUGGGUUCGGGACAACCACUGGAAACGGUGGCUAAUACCGGAUGUGCCGAGAGGUAAAAGAGAAAUUGCCUGAAGAUGAGCUCGCGUCUGAUUAGCUAGUUGGUGAGGUAAAGGCUCACCAAGGCAGCGAUCAGUAGCUGGUCUGAGGGGAUGACCAGCCACACUGGGACUGAGACACGGCCCAGACUCCUACGGGAGGCAGCAGUGGGGAAUUGUACGAAAUGGGCGAAAGCCUGACGGAGCAAUACCGCGUGAGGGAAGAAGGCUCUUGGGUUGUAAACCUCUUUUCUUAGGGAAGAACAAAAUGACGGUACCUAAGGAAUCAGCAUCGGCUAACUCCGUG
This 435-nucleotide ribosomal RNA is filed under the name uncultured bacterium. RNAcentral's name for it is "partial 16S ribosomal RNA". It matches the Rfam family "Bacterial small subunit ribosomal RNA", at positions 28 to 507 of the family's 1533-position model. The record is from RNAcentral.